Molecule: long non-coding RNA, 3952 nt
Organism: Anarrhichthys ocellatus (wolf-eel)
Lineage: Eukaryota; Metazoa; Chordata; Actinopteri; Perciformes; Anarhichadidae
Exons: 3
Source: RefSeq, a predicted model, not a curated record
CUGUGGAUCAGAGCGGAGGAGAAAUUAUUAGUAAAGUCUGUAAACGUCUUCUUGCUGCUUCUCAACCACGGAGAGCUAAUUUAAAGACUUUGCAACGUGAAUCCUUCUGUCAGUUUCAAUGUUGUCUCAGGCUAAAUAAUAUGUAAAAGUGUAAUAACACUGUCUGUAGCGACCAGCUGAACAGUGUGUACAGUUACUAGUGUAACCAAGUGGAACUGACGGGGUGAAACUAUUGGUUCCGCCGGACCGGUAAUGGGGUGCACGGGCCCUGAUUAGCUAAAAAGAUGCACCUGCUGGCAAAUCGCGGGCUUUGUCGUUCUCUCCGGUGUCACGAGCGGGUGUGCUGAGUCUGCUCUCUGUCUUCCCCGCCACGAGUGGGGGUGCCGAGUCCAACUACUUGCUCUCCCGCAACAAGCGGGGACAUAGCGUGAGGCCGCAUGAGAAGUUGCGUCGGUAGCGCAGUGUCUGGGAGGCAUCCGUUACGGAGGGGACAGCGUGUGUUUGGGGGAUGGCUGAUUCGGAGCUUCCUGAGCAGUGCACCCAAUGGUAGCUGGGGGGGAAUCCAAGUGGGGGUGGCUGGGUUGCUGAACAUUCGGUGAUCUGAGGGUCUUGAUGCUCGGUCCUGAAGCUCCCGUCUGAUGAGGUUUACCUGAACCCAGCAGACUCUCCACACAGUAUGAGAAACCACCACUGACCUGAGAGCUCCAUCAGCAUCUGACACAACUUCAGUCUACAAGAAACCCUUUACUGAUGGAGUGCAUGAUCUGGACAGUUUACAUACAAGUUAUGGCUUUGCGACUUUUUGCAUUAUUGUUACCCAAUAUAUAUUUUAAUGUCAGUUUAUGACUAAAGAGCUUUAUCUUUAAGGAGGGUUUUUGUAAUUUGUUAAUUACAAUUAAUGAUCUUGUGGUAUUAAAAAAAUAGACCGUGUUCUCUCGCAAAGGUUUUAUGUAACAACACUGUUUAAACGUGAUAUAAAAAUAGGUAUUUGAUUUCAUGCAUGCAGAGGGGUGUAUAUAUACCUGGUCCAUUUAACACCUAGACUAUGAAAAUAUAAUCCUUUACUACAGGUAAUAAAUACUGACUGUGAGCAAUGCAAAGCAUUCAGUCAAACUUUAGACAGCAGACAGAUGACAAUAUGAAUGUUACAAUAUUCUCUACAGUAUUUUUAAAGUGUUUCAAACAUAAUCUGAAGCUUUUACAAUUUCACAGAAUGAAUAUGGCAAUAACUGUCAGACAAGAAAAAAACUCACAAAUGCCUUGUGUUAGGGUAAAUGCCAAAGCAACUCGCCAGCAGGGUGGCCAACAGAACCAGUUGGGUGAAGUUAGAACCAAGGUCACUUCCAGAACCAAACCAAAGCAACAGAAUACCUCUCCAACAAUGAGGGAAAUUCGGUUUGAGUGCAACCCCAAGCAAGAAGUAUAACGUAAGGUCCAAAACCACCUCGGUCCCCCAUCAGCUGGCCUACCCUUCUAACACCAAAGUUCACUUUGUAAGUUGGGGUUGGGAACCUUGGGAGUCGAGGACACUCCUCAAAUUCACCACACCUAACACCCUGCACAUUCUGUUCUUGGCCUUCUUGGAAGAUCUUAUCUCAAUGCAUUGCCCAACAGAUAUACACCUCACUAGCUGUAAGGGGCUCUAUCAACACCCAUGCCCUGCUUGACUUUGGAUUUAAAAUAAAUCUGUGUUCUAGCACUUUUGCAGAGGUUGCUAGAGCAAUGCUCUCUCUCUGCAAGCCAUUGCAAAUCAACAUCUGCAACAUGAGCAUUACCAGUUACAUGCAGGAUAAGUCAGCCAUCACAAAAUAUGCUUGGGUCAACACACCACUCCAGGAGAUAAAAAAAUAAACUACACAGAAAAUAUGUUUCAAAUCCCCAUUCACUCAUGGUGCUUAUGAAUCCUAUAGAAAUAAAUACACUCAUACCAUUAGAUCUGCAAAAAAGAAAUAUUUCGGUGAAAAAUGUAUGUAGUGUAAAACAACACGUGGAAGUAAUAAAUCAGGUGUUGCAAAGAGAAAAAAAUGACCCCAGAGCUUCCUUCAGUCUUUUUGGAUAGUGAAAAUUCUCUUGACAAGCCAUUUGAUAUAGCUCAAAAAUUGAAUGAAUUCUUUGAAAAUAUUGGUCAUGAAUUAGCUAACAAUAUUCCUGCUUGUCAUGGGAAUCCACUGGAUUUUAUUUCAAUAAAUGUCCCUAUUAUCUCUAAUAUUAUGCCCACUGAUAUUCAAGUGAUAUAAUCGAUGAUCUUAAAACAUCUUCAACUGGCCAUGACAUCAUUUUUUGCAUUCCUUGUCAAACAGGUCAAUAUUGCAGCCACUUGCUCACAUCUCCACCUUGUCUUUGAAAACAGGUGUUGUGCCAGAAGAUUUAAAAAUUGCCAAAGUCAUUCCUUUGUUUAAACCAGAAAAUCCACGUUGUUUUAACAACUAUAGACCCAUAUCUAUUUUGCCUUGCUUUUCAAAAAUACUAGAAAAAAUUGUACACAAAAGGAUUAUGUUUCAUGUAGAGCCUGAUUCAUUUCUUUACAAACACCAGUAUGGUUUCCUUAAAAAUCAUUCAACUUAUAUGGCUUUACUUUACCUUGUUGAUAAAGUUAUCUCUGCACUUGAUAUUAAUGACCUUGCUUGCAGUAUUUUCAUAGACCUUUCCAAAGCCUUUGAUACAGUAAACCAUCAUAUUUGAUUGGAAAAGCUGCAUAAAUAUGGUUUCAAUGAUAUUGCAUACAAAUGUUUAAUACUGAUGUCUCCAAUAGAAGACAGUUUGUUUGUGUUAACGGUUGCUGCUCCAACGAAGCCAGACUAAUAUGUGGGGUUCCACAGUGGUCCGUUACCAAUAUUAACACUUAUUUAUAAUAAUUUUUGAAUAUAAAAAAAUAUAUUAUUUUAUUAUUUUCAGUGGCAAAAGACCAUACUCUAAGGAUUUAUCUAAAAUUUAAAUUUAAUGUUUUGAGAUGCCUCAAGUGUCAUCUACAAAAUUCCUGGGAACUAUUAUUGAUGAGAGUUUAAGUUGGAGUAAACAUAUUGACUUAUCUAUUAACAAACAAAUCUAUUGGAAUAAUGAGGGUUAGACAUCUUGUCUCUGCAAACUGUCUCCUUAUUCUUUAUUAUGGUAUAAUUUAUCCCUAUCGUUCAUAUUGUAAUGUAGUUUGGGCAAGUACUUUUCCUACUACUCUGUAAAAAAUGUUGGUCCUCCAGAAACGUUUUGUUAUGAUUGCAACCCAAUCACAGUCAGACAUCUCAUCUGCUCUUCUAUUUCAGAAACUGCAGAUUCUUACUAUUUAUGACAUCAAUAUUUCUCAAAUUUGUGUUUUUAUUGAUAAGAUACUUUCAGGUGAAGGGAAUAUUCCUGAUAAUUUCAAGACCUACUUUAAAGUCAAUUCACAGGUUCACUCUGACUCAACUCAUCAAUCUUCAGACCUUAAUCCUCCCAAAUUACUGACUAGCAGAGGUCAAUUUUCAAUAAGAUUUAGGGGAACCAAAUUAUGAAUGACUUUUCCCACCUAACAAAAAAAUGUUCAUCUAAAAAAUGUUUCAAAAGGUGCUUCAAUUAAAUGUAAUUGCUGUAAUUUUAUGUAUUAAUGUUCAUGUCUUUCUUGUUUUAGCUGUUAUAUUAUAUUUAUAGUUGUUUCACUCUUAGGGACUUGCCAUUACCAUUGCUUAGGAGUUACUGUAGGUGUAUAAACCAAUAUCCCCUGAACAAACACAAGCCCACGCUUACUCUCACACACAUGCACUCAUGUGCACGCACACUUAUGUCUAACACAUCGACACAAUUACAUUUUCUUUCUCUUUUGUUGUUUGUAAUGUAUAGAUAUUGUUAUCAUAUUUCAUAUCUUGUAAAAACAUCUUGUCAAUAAUAUUUUAGGUAGUCAUAUCUUAUGCAUGUUCAUUUUAUGUUCUGUGUAAUAUUGUGAAAUUUUAAUAUUAUAUAGGUGGAGGCUUCAAAUAAGCCC